CUAAAGUCUAUAACACA
This 17-nucleotide transfer RNA is filed under the name Silverstoneia flotator (rainforest rocket frog). Its description in RNAcentral is "partial tRNA-Phe". RNAcentral also lists the same sequence under 1 other name. Lineage: Eukaryota; Metazoa; Chordata; Amphibia; Anura; Dendrobatidae. The record is from RNAcentral.